RNAcentral lists this long non-coding RNA (1193 nucleotides) under Malus domestica (apple). RNAcentral's name for it is "long non-coding RNA (MDOM_LNC014704)". Lineage: Eukaryota; Viridiplantae; Streptophyta; Magnoliopsida; Rosales; Rosaceae. The record is from RNAcentral.
GGCCAGAGCACUCCCAUGAUGGGUGACCCACUGGGAAGUUACUCGUGAGUUCCCAAAAACAAAAUUGUGAGGGCGUGGUUGGGGUCCAAAGCGAACAAUACCUCAUCUCUAGGGCAUUUUCAUAAAUUCACAUUUUAAAAAUUCAUAAAGUCGUAGAACUAGGGACAGGUUGUCAUAAGAGAGACUAAAUUUCUAAACCAAAUUUUGUAAACGAAAUGAUGUGUUUUUUGUUGAUUGAAUUAUUACUCAAAUGUUGACUAACGUACUUAUUUUCUAUUAGUGAUACAUUAUUUGAUUUGCAAAUUUGGUUUAAAUGACAACUGUUUUAGCCACUCCAAAUAUAUAAUUCACAUAUUAUAUUUCCAUACACCAAAAUGUCCUAACAAUUAUAGAAACAAAUAAAGAUCAAAAUUAAUACACGGGCUUUCUUUGACAAGUAUGCCCAAAAUUUAACCACGACAAAAUUAUAAAAUAAGAAAAGAAAAUAAAUUUGGUGAAUGGAAAUAAUUCACAUGCUAGAUCACGUGCCUGACAGCCAGAAACCAAAGCUUUUAUGCUCAUAGUUCCCAUCCACACCAGAAGAAAACGAACCUCAAUUGAGAUGGGGAGACGGCCCACAUGGCGCCAUACAUGUAAAUUAUGUGAGAUUGUUUAGUGUGCCCAGAAUAGGGAGUAGUAGACUAUAUUUUAGGGAUGUGAUAUCUACACACUUCAUUUUACUUUUUACACAUCUUUUUAAUUUUCGGUCUUCGGAUCGGAUGAAUUGAAGAAAAUCAACGGACAAAAUUAUCAAAGGUGUGUGAGAAGUAAAAUAGGGUGUGUGGAUAGCACACUCCAUAUUUUAUUAUAUAAAUGGGGUGCCACUUGAAAAUAAAAUUUUCAUCCACUUAAUUAUAUAAUAACAUGUGGUGUUAUAUUCCGUGUUUUGGGAAAAAUAAUUUCUUGUAAAUCAUGAGUGUGCAAAAAUGUAGUAAAUAGUAGAAACAAUGGGAUUAAACAAAAUCGAAUUCUUAUUAUCACUAAAGUUCUAAAAAGACAUUAGGUGCUAGUUGGGCAACAGAUUAGGCCAUCUCCAACCGAAGGGUCCAGAGGGCCAGAGGGCCGAAAAUAGCCCUAAAACCGUCUCCAACCGAGGGCUAGGCCAGAGGGCUCUGGAAUCUGGGAGGACCCCACGGGAUCGGAGAGGGCUGGAG